UCCCCGUUUCACAGGGCAGUCUGAACAGAGUGCUCGGACCUCACGGUCCGGUGGCAACAGUUCACAAGGGUUGCGCUCGUUGCGGGACUUAACCCAACAUCUCACGACACGAGCUGACGACAGCCAUGCAGCACCUGUGCAAGUUGUGUAUUGCUACACUCGCUGGCUUUCACCAACUUAGAAAUGCAUGUCAAGGCUUGGUAAGGUUCUUCGCGUUGCAUCGAAUUAAGCCACAUACUCCACCGCUUGUGCGGGCCCCCGUCAAUUUCUUUGAGUUUUAAUCUUGCGACCGUACUCCCCAGGCGGCACGUUUAACGCGUUAGCUCCGGCACGGAAGGGGUCGAAUCCUCCCACACCAAACGUGCACCGUUUACUGCCAGGACUAC
Molecule: unclassified non-coding RNA, 386 nt
Filed under: uncultured Chthoniobacteraceae bacterium
Lineage: Bacteria; Pseudomonadati; Verrucomicrobiota; Spartobacteria; Chthoniobacterales; Chthoniobacteraceae
Description: contains 16S-23S intergenic spacer region
Source: RNAcentral